GCCCAGUGAAUAAUUAAACGGCCGCGGUACCCUAACCGUGCAAAGGUAGCGUAAUCACUUGUCUAUUAAUUGUAGACCCGUAUGAAAGGCAUAAUGAGGGCCUAACUGUCUCUUUUAGUAAAUCAAUUAAACUGAUCUCCUAGUCCAAAAGCUAAGAUGUUAACAUAAGACCAGAAGACCCUGUGAAGCUUUAACUAAACUAUUAAACCCUAUAAUAGCUACUUUAGGUUGGGGCGACCUUGGAAAAAAAAAGAACUUCCAAUAUAAGNAUAUGUAUUAACAUACUACAUAGGCCAACAAGCCUACCACGACCCAGCCAGCUGACAAUAGAACCAAGUUACUCCAGGGAUAACAGCGCUAUCUUCUUCAAGAGCCCAUAUCAAAAAGAAGGUUUACGACCUCGAUGUUGGAUCAGGACAUCCUAAUGGUGCAGCCGCUAUUAAGGGUUCGUUUGUUCAACGAUUAACAGUCCUACGUGAU
Molecule: ribosomal RNA, 480 nt
Filed under: Oxyuranus scutellatus
Lineage: Eukaryota; Metazoa; Chordata; Lepidosauria; Squamata; Elapidae
Description: partial 16S ribosomal RNA
Rfam family: Bacterial large subunit ribosomal RNA
Source: RNAcentral